GACGAACGCUGGCGGUGUGCUUAACACAUGCAAGUCGAACGGUAAGGCCCUUUCGGGGGUACACGAGUGGCGAACGGGUGAGUAACACGUGAGUAACCUGCCCUCAUCUCUGGGAUAACAGUCGGAAACGGUUGCUAAUACUGGAUAUGAGCUUGCAAGGCAUCUUGUGGGUUGGAAAGAUUUUUUUUGGUUGGGGAUGGACUCGCGGCCUAUCAGCUUGUUGGUGAGGUAGUGGCUCACCAAGGCUUCGACGGGUAGCCGGCCUGAGAGGGCGACCGGCCACAUUGGGACUGAGAUACGGCCCAAACUCCUACGGGAGGCAGCAGUGGGGAAUAUUGCACAAUGGACGGAAGUCUGAUGCAGCAACGCCGCGUGCGGGAUGACGGCCUUCGGGUUGUAAAUCGCUUUCAAUUGUGACGAAGCUUUUUUGUGACGGUAGCAGUAGAAGAAGCACCGGCUAACUACGUG
RNAcentral lists this ribosomal RNA (468 nucleotides) under uncultured bacterium. RNAcentral's name for it is "partial 16S ribosomal RNA". It matches the Rfam family "Bacterial small subunit ribosomal RNA", at positions 28 to 507 of the family's 1533-position model. The record is from RNAcentral.